UCCUGCAACCGGAGCGUCCACUGAGCGGCGCCGCAGCCCGCAACUUCCACAGCCAGUCAGCCAGUCAGCCAGCCAGCCAGCGCUUCCUCCCUGCAACACGCUGCAGGCCAAUCCGCUCACCCACUCCUCCGCGUUGGGUUACUGUGACAAGGGCCCUGUCUGAACCACGACUUUUAGAAAGAUAAUAUUACAGGCCCACAGCUGAUCCAUCCCCCAGUACACAGUUGAGACAGAGGAGGUUAAAGCACUCUGAACGCAUGGGACCAUAUUGCAGAUGCGCAGAGGCUGUAAUGAAGAGCUCUUGAACUCCCAGUCAGAGAAGCUGUGACAGGAGUUCAGGAGGAUGCCUCUUUGGCUCUGCUGGAAAGGGACCUCCACUCUGGAUGAAAUUUAGCCCCGACCUCUGACCUUUGGGUUCCCCGCUUGUCUCCAGUCCAGUGACCACAAACAACUCCUGGAUUGCUGUAAAUGUCAGUGCAGCGGUGUCUCCGCCCUCGCCCCUGUGAACCAUAGGGCUGCACUCAACCUGCACUAAUAGGACACUUUCAUGAGAGCUCCAUUAUCAGUUAUGCUGUAUUUGAUAUCUCAGAUUUCCUCCUUAUGAUGCCUCUAUGAACUGAAUAACUGUCACCAAACAAACAGCAAUA
Long non-coding RNA from Morone saxatilis (striped sea-bass), 647 nucleotides. RefSeq lists it as uncharacterized. The transcript is spliced from 4 exons. NCBI's taxonomy places the organism in Eukaryota, Metazoa, Chordata, Actinopteri, Moronidae. The record is from RefSeq and is a predicted model, not a curated record.